Molecule: ribosomal RNA, 253 nt
Filed under: uncultured bacterium
Lineage: Bacteria
Description: partial 16S ribosomal RNA
Rfam family: Bacterial small subunit ribosomal RNA
Source: RNAcentral
GACAGAGGUUGCAAACGUUGUUCGGAAUCACUGGGCAUAAAGCGCACGUAGGCGGCUGACUAAGUCCGAUGUGAAAUCCCUCGGCUUAACCGGGGAACUGCGUCUGAUACUGGAUGGCUAGAGGUUGGGAGAGGGAUGCGGAAUUCCAGGUGUAGCGGUGAAAUGCGUAGAUAUCUGGAGGAACACCGGUGGCGAAGGCGGCAUCCUGGACCAAUUCUGACGCUGAGGAGCGAAAGCCAGGGGAGCAAACGGG